RNAcentral lists this non-coding RNA (269 nucleotides) under Desulforamulus aeronauticus. RNAcentral's name for it is "Desulfotomaculum aeronauticum T-box sequence". It matches the Rfam family "T-box leader". From Rfam's summary of the family: Uncharged tRNA acts as the effector for transcription antitermination of genes in the T-box leader family. T-boxes are found upstream of many aminoacyl-tRNA synthetase genes and some amino acid biosynthetic genes usually in Gram-positive bacteria. Lineage: Bacteria; Bacillati; Bacillota; Clostridia; Eubacteriales; Peptococcaceae. The record is from RNAcentral.
AGAAAAGCAAUGAAAAGAAGGAGUAGGUAUUUUUUACCGAGCAUAGAGAGAAGCGGACGGUGGAAGCGCUUUGUCGGGAAAAUACACGAAGUAGUCUUGGAGCUGCAGAUCGAAAGAAAUGACGUUCGUUAGUUGUUUCAAGUAGACUCUGACGGAAAUUCCCACCGUUAAAAGGGAAACGGCAUCGAGUAAAAUCCGUGCUGAUAUGAGGUAUAGUUGUAACACUUCUAUACAAAGUUAGGUGGUAACACGAGCCAUUCGUCCUAAAU